GAUGAAGAACGCAGCGAAAUGCGAUAAGUAAUGCGAAUUGCAGAAUUUCCGUGAGUCAUCGAAUCUUUGAACGCACAUUGCGCCCAUUGGUAUUCCGAUGGGCAUGCCUGUUCGAGCGUCAUUAUCUUCCCUCAAACCUCGCGUUUGGUGUUGGGCCGUGCUGGUUCCUGCGUGACCAACUGGCCUCAAAGACAAUGACGGCGUCCGUGGGACCCUCGAUGCAACGAGCUUCUCAGGAGCACGCGUCGAGUUUCAAGGACCUUCCGGGCCGGUCUCUCCUCAAGUUAUUACAAGGUUGACCUCGGAUCAGGUAGGGAUACCCGCUGAACUUAAGCAUAUCAAUAAGCGGAGGA
RNAcentral lists this unclassified non-coding RNA (353 nucleotides) under soil metagenome. RNAcentral's name for it is "partial contains 5.8S ribosomal RNA, internal transcribed spacer 2, and large subunit ribosomal RNA". The stretch from base 1 to 121 matches the Rfam family "5.8S ribosomal RNA", at positions 35 to 154 of the family's 154-position model. The record is from RNAcentral.